This 253-nucleotide ribosomal RNA is filed under the name uncultured bacterium. RNAcentral describes it as "partial 16S ribosomal RNA". It matches the Rfam family "Bacterial small subunit ribosomal RNA", at positions 524 to 776 of the family's 1533-position model. The record is from RNAcentral.
UACGAAGGGGGCUAGCGUUGCUCGGAAUCACUGGGCGUAAAGCGCACGUAGGCGGCUUUUUAAGUCAGGGGUGAAAUCCUGGAGCUCAACUCCAGAACUGCCUUUGAUACUGGGAAGCUCGAGUCCGGGAGAGGUGAGUGGAACUCCGAGUGUAGAGGUGAAAUUCGUAGAUAUUCGGAAGAACACCAGUGGCGAAGGCUGCUCACUGGCCCGGUACUGACGCUGAGGUGCGAAAGCGUGGGGAGCAAACAGG